This 424-nucleotide ribosomal RNA is filed under the name Megaselia euryprocta. RNAcentral describes it as "partial 16S ribosomal RNA". The record is from RNAcentral. Lineage: Eukaryota; Metazoa; Arthropoda; Insecta; Diptera; Phoridae.
UUUUAGAAAUUAAUUUAAAGUCUAACCUGCCCACUGAAUUUUUAAAUGGCCGCAGUAUUCUAACUGUGCAAAGGUAGCAUAAUCAUUAGUCUUUUAAUUAAAGGCUGGAAUGAAUGGUUGAAUGAAAUAUUAACUGUUUCAUAAAAAUUUAUAAUAAAAUUUUAUUUUUUAGUUAAAAAGCUAAAAUAAAAUUAAAAGACGAGAAGACCCUAUAAAUCUUUAUAUUUAUUUAAUUUUAAUUAUUUUGAAAAAUUAAAUUAUAAUUAUUUUAAGUAUUUUAUUGGGGUGAUAUUAAAAUUUAAUAAACUUUUAAUUUAUAAUUUACAUAAAUUAAUGAAUUUUUGAUCCAUAUAUUAUGAUUAAAAAAUUAAGUUACUUUAGGGAUAACAGCGUAAUUUUUUUAGAGAGUUCAUAUUGAUAAAAA